GCAGAGACUUAAAGCAGGGUGGAUGGAGUCAGCUCUGUCUGAGUGAGGAGGCCUUCGAGGCCACUGGGUGCAGGUCAGUAGGUAAAGCUGGUUUCCUUCUCUCUUCUUCACCGCAAAGUCCAAAAGCAGGGCCCGCGCUUUUUGUCCUGGGGUCGGGGACGACUCGCCAGCCCACUGCUCUCAAUCUGAGAACUUCAGCAGACAAGCCAGAGAAGAGCGGUCAGUGAAGACUGUCACGUUGCGAGUCACGGCUUCACGUUUAUCACCCCGCUUGCUCUGAGGGCACAAAGCCCCCAGGAACCCGACUGGCUGUGAUGGGCCCUGGAGACUUGUCUCCAUCCUUGUGGAUCCCUGUCUCCCCGCCUGCAGCCAAGGUUAAAACCACCCAGUGUUGAUCAUCGCAUCCUCAAAGGCUGUCUAGAGAAGCAAGUAAAAUGAGGGCGUGGAAGCCACUUGUGAAGCCUGUUCCAGGGGCAGGAGCCUUGCCCAGGUCCCCUGAGCUCAGGACGAGAGUGGGAAUUACGUGUGCAAGAGCUCAAUUGUGGCUUUAGAAGGCUAACUCACUCUUCCAGGUCAAUUUCAUCUGUGUGCUCUGAUUGUUGUUAUCAUUCUUUGCUGGGCCCCUUCUGCUUUGAGCUUGUUUUAUAUAAAGGUCCUUACAUUUGUUAUUUUUUGAGUAACUGGGAAAAUCCUUUGCCACAAUUUUCAGCUGCUCCACAGCAAAACUUCCUUCUUUUGCUUUUCUGUUCUUGUUCCUUUCUUUUUAUGUACUGGUAGCUUUCUUACAUAGAUCCUGCACUUGAUCGUUCCUCAUCUUGAAAAGACAGGAAAUCUUUCCAGAUCAGAAAUUUGUGUGAGAUCUGCGUGUGCAUAGAGGUGCGUGUGUAUUCACACAUGUGCACGUCGGAUUGAGGCUAAAGGAACUUUGCUCCGGAGUCGUUGUGUGGGUAGUCGGCUCUUUGUGCAGUUCAGCUCAAGAUGCACAGUGCAGACUUGUCUCCCCUUUUCCUCCCCUAGGCUUCCCUGGUGGCUCAGACGGUAAAGCGCCUGCCUGGAAUGCGGGAGACCCAGGUUCGAUCCCUGGGUCAGGAAGAUCCCCUGGAGAAGGAAAUGACAACCCACUCCAGUACUCUUGCCUGGAGAAUUCCAUGGUUGGAGGAGCCCAAUGGGCUACAGUCCAUGGGGUCGCAAAGAGUCGGAUGCAAUUGAGCGACUUCACUUCACUUUGCUCUGCUGCAGCGAGGCCGGGAAUUGACGAUCUGUCUGCCCAAACCCUGAGAAGACAGUGACGGAAAAUACUGUGGCUCAACUGGAACACAUCGAGAGGCGUUUUCUGAUUGCUUUCAAGACUUGGUGAGUGUGAGGUUUAUAUGAGGAGAAAAGGAGUUAUUUAAGUUACAGGAGUUUUCGUCUAGAAUGG
Molecule: long non-coding RNA, 1420 nt
Filed under: Bos indicus x Bos taurus (hybrid cattle)
Lineage: Eukaryota; Metazoa; Chordata; Mammalia; Artiodactyla; Bovidae
Description: lncRNA (ENSBIXG00005027938.1)
Rfam family: tRNA (bases 1023-1091)
Source: RNAcentral